CGGCGGCGGAGGAGGGGGGAAGGGGCUGCGGCCGCAGCGGAGUGAGGGGGGUAGGUAGAGAGAGGAGACCAGUACGGGCGCGGCGGCGUCGUCAUCUCGGGUUGGUUGGUCGGUUGUCAUCGUACGCGGCGCAGAACGCCGCGCCCGACCCGUAGGAGGAGCAGGGUGAGGGACCGGGUGAGUCGGCCGGCGGCGGCUAGGGAGAGCGACGAGAGGAGGAGGAGGGCGCGGCGGACCUACGGAAGAAGGCUGCCGGGAAGACGCUGAUGUCGCCCCCGGCGCGGCAGCUCGUCAAGAGGCUGCUGCUCAUGCUGGUGCUCAUGCUCCUGGUGGCCGGCAGCAGCAGCCACCGCUUGUAGCUGCUCACCUCCACCUUCGACUCGUACGACGUCGCGUUACGCCUCCUCGUCCUCUAGUAGAGGUCCCUGGCCUCCCUGGCGGCCCUGAUACUGGUCUAGCGGUUGGAGCGGUUCUCCUACCCCGAGAUGUCACUCGACAUACCCUUCCAAUAACAACGCUCGUUCCAGGGCGACGGCUUGAUGUCCGGCCUGGACCUGCUGUUCGCGGGCGUUUCUCUCCGCUCAGGUACGUUAGGUUACCACCACUAGGGCGAUUCGAACGUCUCCUCCCAACUUCCUAAACACGUCCUCGUGGAACUGGCAAGCGAGAACGGUAAAUUAUUUCUGCCACCGUUCAGUCUCUCACCAAGACUCUUUCGACUCGUACACUUGAACCUACUCUUCGUCCUAGGAGACGAGCUGCUCAGCCAAUACCUCUUCUAGGAAGUCUCCUUCUCAGAAUCCUACGCGUUAAAAGUUUCUUCAACCGUCCUUAGUGGACUUCCGCGAUUCUACCAUCUUAAAGCCUUUAGUGAGGGUCGUAUGUUCCUCUUCCUUUCCGAAGAUCGUCGGUAACGUGCAUUAGUCCAAUAUCAAUAAAGACCCCUCUGUCCCACACCUUUUUGUUGUGUCAACGGAGUUAAACACAACCUCAGUCUCUAUCUUAGACCAGCUCCCCGGAAAACAUUGUAUUAGACAUGUGUCGGUGCUUCUUAUAGACGUUACCGACAACGUCUUUCUCAUAGGUGGCUUUCUCCUCUUUUGGAACCACUUAGCCAACCGAUGUUUCAAGCUAACCUCCCUUAAUCUCCUUUUCUAUGUGUAAAUGAAAAGACGUGGUCACCAUAAAAUGAUUCUGCUAACGACUCACUGGCUUUGAACUUACCUCAUAGAGUACAUAAACAACUACUUUAUGUACUUUCUCCCUACUUACUUCUAAAGAAUAACUAACAAGAUUUCCUGGAUAACAGUGCCGCGGCGCUAGAUUCCAACUAUAACUACUCACGAUGAAAUUUACGCCUUGACAAGAGUUCAAUAAAGCCUCCUCGCGGUUGAUAGGUGUAAGGACCUAAGUGUGUAGGUCACUCCCGCGUAAAAGACCUUCUGUAUAAUCUCUCCUGUCCGAUAUUCUACUGUCGUUCAUUAGUUGAACUGCUAAUGCCGGUUCUAUUUCACACCUUCUGAGUCUCUGUCGAUAAUGGUUCUUUUUCCUUUUUAGUUUAAUGAUGUGAACAGCUCCUACGGGAAGUUUUAAGCUUGAAACUUUGGAUACCGAGUUCCUGUGCACUAAGAGACCGUUUGACCUUAGGACUAACGUAUCCCAAAUUAGAGUAUCUCCGACAAGACACGGUGUAUACAGCGUUUCUCGCUCGACCACGUCAAAAUCAAAAAUACUGGCCUACCCUACUGUAAUCGAGAAACUUCCUAGUUGAUUUUCGCGUAGGCAACGAUCCGCUGGGUUUAUCUCACAAUGACGAACGUACGGUACCAAGGUACCGAUGGAGACUCGUCUCCGAUUAUAAACUGUUCCGUGGAGGAUUACAAGCCUUCCAUCAUGAACGGUGAUUGUACCGUCUCCGUUCAUAAUGGUAUUUACUGUAGCAAAAGCAGUACCUAACACCUUUUCGUUUCCUUUGGUGUAUGCUACGAGAUUUGUUGUGAGGGACGAACGAGGGGAGUACCUAAAGUUUCCGAAGAAGGGCAGUCUCCUCCCCGUCUCGACCAGCACAGGUUGGACCUCUUACGAUAGUAGAGAUGGGGGCUACACAUAUACUACGUAAACGUCUCAUGGUCGAAGGUCUCGAAGAAUCCUGAGGAAACUUAAGUGAUACAAACGUCUAUUUUUCAAACGUCCAACUGUCGUAACCCCUCAAAGAUAGUCGACGAAACGUCGGAGGUCUUGGUGCUCGGCAGGUUUUACGUCACCUUAAGGACUUCUACUAGCCUAGUAAUCUACUCUUGCUCUUGGAAUGACUAGAUCCUUCUAUGGAGAGGUACGAAGGUCAACUAGGCUUCAACCCCUUCUACGAAUAUUACCCACGUCAAAAGGCAACGUAACUGGGAUAUGAAUGACACCAACGACCUAACUCACGGGCCCUAGGAAAGGACAACGGUGUCCUGUUCUUUCUAAACCGUCCUUGACGUUUUAGUUCUAAGAGUCGCUUUCUAAUAUCACUAGUAUACCGGGAACAUGCUCGAAUACUUCCUACCUUCCUACGACUCUCCCUUCCUAGACCAAUACUCAUGACAACCUCCUUAAAGGAAAGACGAGUUUGUGAUGUUCGGUAAGUAAGAGAAGCUUUCGUUAAGUCGAUAUAGAAUUUCCUGCGGCCAAACUAUCUGAGACUACGUUUAUGUUUAUUAUCAAACUCGGUAUUAGUUAGUAAUCAAGCACCACAUUAAACAAGACCUGAAAAAGGACCCUAUAGUAGACAACACGUAUCCCUUUUGAGGUACAGGAAGUUCUGGUACCUACUGCCGGUUCAAGAACAAAUACGAUUGAGGCACUUACGAUUCAUGGUCUGGUAGGGAAUAGGUACCGACCAGAAACCACUCUUCCACUUCCAUUUACGACAGAAGUAGGCACUAAGUUGACCUCAUAGUCUAAGGUAUGACUAGAAUAAACCACCACGACAAUGUUUUCCUUCGCGCCGACCCGUAAACUUCUACGAACUACCAAUGUAACUAGAUAAAUACCUAGGGUCGGACAGUCUCACGAUGAACGUUGAAUUUCUCCUUGAACUAUUUGAACAUGUCUUCUUCGAACUUCUGGGUUGGAAACUGUAAGUGUUCCUUCCGUUUAUGUAAAAUAAACGACGUGUUCUCGAACGACGCCCGCUGGAUACACUUCCUUCCAAACACAAGCCGGCUCUUUGCUCGUCUCGAUCCGAAGCCCUGUUGCUUCUGCCGUUUUCGUUGUAGUAUUUCCUACCAUACUUGGGUUUCUCGGACGACGUCUGGAACGACUACUCCCGUCCGGUGUGCGGAGGUUUCAUGUUCUGUUUCGUGGAGUUCUGGUUGCUCAAGUCCCGGUACCACCUCAAGUUUCCCUACGUCAAGCAGCCCUUCGGCUUCUCCUUGUUCGUCCAGCGCCUCUCCCUGCGGCGCUAUCUUCGAGACCCUACCAACUGUGUUUGCAGGCCAUGCUUCGAGGUCCUACUCCCACUGCUGAGGGGCGAGCUGGACUGGCUAUUGUACGAAUUCGACGAAAGAUCUGGUUCCUUUGCCUGCUCUUUAUUGGGCUUCUUUACUAAAGACGUUCCCCUCCUUUCCUUUGGAGACCUAAAACAAGGUGAGGCAACCAGGAGUUCCGUUGGACAGAACCCAUACUCCGCUGGAACGACUACUCCCGUCCGGUGUGCGGAGGUUUGACCACCACGAGGAAAGGAGAGUUUAGGUAUGGUUGAAAAUUCAGACCAAGUCCAAUACUACAAUCUUCCGUCGCACCUCGCUUGGCCACUGCUACCGUAGGCACUCCUCCACCGUGUUCCUUCCGUCUCACCAUAAGCCCUCCAAAAGAAAAGGUAUUUUUGAGCUUACGGUUUUAAAGAGCUUAUCGGUAC
RNAcentral lists this ribosomal RNA (3901 nucleotides) under Triticum aestivum (bread wheat). RNAcentral's name for it is "partial small subunit ribosomal RNA". The record is from RNAcentral. Lineage: Eukaryota; Viridiplantae; Streptophyta; Magnoliopsida; Poales; Poaceae.